CCCAGUUCAAUCCCAGUUCAGCCCAGUUCAAUCCCAGUUCAAUCCCAGUUCAUUCCCAGUUCAAUCCCAGUUCAAUCCCAGUCCAUCCCAGUUCAUCCCAGUUCCAUCCCAGUCCAUCCCAGUUCAAUCCCAGUCUCACCCCGAGGGCGUGGCCCGUCGCUGGCCCCGCCCCCUCCGGGAAGAGCCAAUCCAGCGCGUCCAGCACAGCGGGGGAGGGGCCGAGUUCCCGCAGCAGUGACGUCACCACCUGUGGGGGGAGGGGCGGGGCCAGGCUGGGGGGCGUGGCCUAGAGAUUCCCUUGCCCAUAUAAGGAAAUGGGGGUGGGGUUUACAUUGGUGGGCGUGGUCUGAAGGUUUCUAUGCCCAUAUAAGGAAAUGGGGGCGGGGUUUAGUGGAGUG
This 398-nucleotide long non-coding RNA is filed under the name Parus major (Great Tit). Its description in RNAcentral is "lncRNA (ENSPMJG00000004159.1)". The record is from RNAcentral. Lineage: Eukaryota; Metazoa; Chordata; Aves; Passeriformes; Paridae.